ACGAACGCUGGCGGCGUGCUUAACACAUGCAAGUCGAACGGUGAAGGGACCAGCUUGCUGGUUCUGGAUGAGUGGCGAACGGGUGAGUAACACGUGAGUAACCUGCCCCCUUCUUCUGGAUAACCGCAUGAAAGUGUGGCUAAUACGGGAUAUUCUGGGUCUGUCGCAUGGCGGGCCCGGGAAAGAUAUUGCUUCGGUGGGGGAUGGGCUCGCGGCCUAUCAGCUUGUUGGUGGGGUGAUGGCCUACCAAGGCGGUGACGGGUAGCCGGCCUGAGAGGGUGGACGGUCACACUGGGACUGAGACACGGCCCAGACUCCUACGGGAGGCAGCAGUGGGGAAUAUUGCACAAUGGGCGCAAGCCUGAUGCAGCGACGCCGCGUGAGGGAUGGAGGCCUUCGGGUUAUAAACCUCUUUCGCCAGUGAAGCAGGCCUGCUCCUUGUGGGUGGGUUGACGGUAGCUGGAUAAGAAGCGCCGGCUAACUACGUG
This 488-nucleotide ribosomal RNA is filed under the name uncultured bacterium. RNAcentral's name for it is "partial 16S ribosomal RNA". It matches the Rfam family "Bacterial small subunit ribosomal RNA", at positions 29 to 507 of the family's 1533-position model. The record is from RNAcentral.